RNAcentral lists this ribosomal RNA (1359 nucleotides) under Triticum aestivum (bread wheat). RNAcentral's name for it is "partial small subunit ribosomal RNA". The record is from RNAcentral. Lineage: Eukaryota; Viridiplantae; Streptophyta; Magnoliopsida; Poales; Poaceae.
AUGCGGGGCCUGGCCAUGGCAAUAGAAAAGGAGACGGAGGAGCGCUGGACUUCGUUUGAAUUGUACACCAACACGACGAGGUUCUCCAGAGAGAGGUUGCCGGGCAUCUCGCUGCUAUAUAUAUGCGCUACCUCAGGCGAUCUCCUCGACCAGCUCUUACCAUUCUGUCCCACCCCGGGCCGCCCGGCAAUCGGCGAUCCUCCAUUCUUCGAUCACUCUACUAUUCGAGGCUUGCCCAACAUGGCCUUUGCUGGCGUAUCUCUCAUUGUUGACGGCAAGCUGUGCGUCUCCACCAAGUCGGUCAUCAACUCCGGAGCAGAUACCGGGUACCACUUGCUGGUUGUCGAAGGUUACUUGCGCACCAGAGAGACUACUCCCAACGGCGAGUCCAUCGAGUCUCGUCCUUUCAUUGUUGGAGGCCGUCGUUGGAUCAUUGGCUACUCACCUAAUGGCGAUUCCUCGGAUAAUGAAGAAUUUAUAUCGCUUGAGCUUGCCCUUGAGGACGAUAUCGAGCAGGGCGUUGAGUUUCAGUAUGUCUUCAGUUUCAUUGACCAGCCCGAGUUGCGGGUGCCAAAGCACAUCCGCCAAAGCCAACCAGUUUACUUGGACGUGGAUGAAUUUUUGUAUACCCAGUCUGAAUUCAUGAAUAGGGAGGUUUUUGAAAGAUCAAGGCAUCUCAAGGACGACAGCUUCGUCAUCCGGUGUGACCUUGUUGUCCACAAGUCGGCCGCGGACCACAAGGAGCAGGGCACCACCACUCUUCCUUUCACCGAAUUGCCACAGUCUGACUUGCCAAGCCAUCUUGGCGAUCUCCUCCUGAGCAAGGAGGGUGCUGAUGUCACGUUUGAGGUUGACGGCAAGGCGUUCGCUGCGCACCGGUGGAUGCUUGCAGCCCGAUCCACCGUAUUCAAGGAACAGCUCUUUGACGCCAUGAAUGUGGGCGCUGCUACAUCAAGUGUUGUCAAGGUAGUCGACAUCAAAGCAAAUGUGUUCCAGUGCUUGCUUACCUUCAUCUACACUGAUGGAAUACCCAAAUUCGAGAUUGAGGACACAGAAGAGAAUGACACGGAAGAAGACUGGCUGCUGCAGCUCCUUGAAGCUGCAGACAGAUAUGGUCUCCAAAGGCUCAAGUCAAUCUGUGAAGAGAAGUUGACCGAAUUGAUUUGUAAGGACACGGUGGCAGACAUCAUUGUCGUGGCUGAGCGGAACCGGUGCCUCUGGUUGAAGCAUUCUUGCUUGGAGUUCGUCAAAACUAGCACAAAUUUGCACACUGUUUUCACGGCUGAUGGGCUGGAGCAAAUAAUCAGGACGUGCAGACCCUCCGUUCUCAAGGAGCUUCUCUCCAAGUUUGCUUCCUGA